AGAACGAACGCUGGCGGCAGGCCUAACACAUGCAAGUCGAACGCCCCGCAAGGGGAGUGGCAGACGGGUGAGUAACGCGUGGGAACAUACCCUUCGGUUCGGAAUAGCUCAGGGAAACUUGGAUUAAUACCGGAUACGUCCGUAAGGAGAAAGAUUUAUCGCCGAAGGAUUGGCCCGCGUCUGAUUAGCUUGUUGGUGAGGUAAUGGCUCACCAAGGCGACGAUCAGUAGCUGGUCUGAGAGGAUGACCAGCCACAUUGGGACUGAGACACGGCCCAAACUCCUACGGGAGGCAGCAGUGGGGAAUUUU
This 309-nucleotide ribosomal RNA is filed under the name uncultured bacterium. Its description in RNAcentral is "bacterial SSU rRNA". It matches the Rfam family "Bacterial small subunit ribosomal RNA", at positions 26 to 365 of the family's 1533-position model. The record is from RNAcentral.